GUCAUGUGACGGGGGCUCACGUGAUCCCUGGUGUUUUUGUUGGCGGCGGCGGCGACGGAGGGGGGGGCGGGGGUUGUCUAAGAUGGCGGCGAUGGAGGAAGAGGAACGGGCGUUACUGGAUGAGGAAGCGCUGCCCAAAGACCACGGCGACCCCGCGCGCAAGCCCUUGCCGGCGUUGUGCGACCCGCAGCGGCUGGUCCACAGGCUGCUGGUGCUGGCGCUCAUGUGCUUCCUGGGCUUCGCUAUUUUUGCUAUGACACCCCAGCAGCUCUGCAGGCUCAAGUUCAGAGGGAUAUGAAAAUAAACACAGCUGAAUUCAUGGCAUUGUAUGCCUGGUAUUCCUGGCCUAAUGUGUUUCUAUGUUUUUUUGGAGGCUUUUUGAUAGACAGAAUCUUUGGAAUAAGGUAAUUAUGACCAUUUUUUCUUGAAGAUAACUGCUAAAUCCAUCUUAUGUUUUUUUUAAAUGGUGGCACGAAU
RNAcentral lists this long non-coding RNA (477 nucleotides) under Laticauda laticaudata (blue-ringed sea krait). RNAcentral describes it as "lncRNA (ENSLLTG00000013103.1)". The record is from RNAcentral. Lineage: Eukaryota; Metazoa; Chordata; Lepidosauria; Squamata; Elapidae.